Molecule: small nucleolar RNA, 135 nt
Organism: Ailuropoda melanoleuca (giant panda)
Lineage: Eukaryota; Metazoa; Chordata; Mammalia; Carnivora; Ursidae
Gene: SNORA55
Product: small nucleolar RNA, H/ACA box 55
Source: Ensembl
GCACCUGAAUCUUUCCCAUUCUUUGCUGCUCUGUGCUGGCGUGGGGACACAUGGUGCAACAGUAUGAGCAGAGGAAAUCCAGACGGGUUGUUUUCCAUUUGUCUUGGGGCCUGUCUCUACGACUCUGCCACACUU